UCCAACAAGCUGAUCCAUGUAUGAUUUG
This 28-nucleotide small RNA is filed under the name Bombyx mori (domestic silkworm). RNAcentral describes it as "ovarian small RNA-26475". Lineage: Eukaryota; Metazoa; Arthropoda; Insecta; Lepidoptera; Bombycidae. The record is from RNAcentral.